Zingiber officinale is the source of this 972-nucleotide RNA transcript. It is a transcript of the gene named protein GET1-like, with no coding region annotated. NCBI's taxonomy places the organism in Eukaryota, Viridiplantae, Streptophyta, Magnoliopsida, Zingiberales, Zingiberaceae. The transcript has 7 exons. The record is from RefSeq and is a predicted model, not a curated record.
CGGAGCUAAUCAUUUCAUCUCAUCCGACGGCUUCAGAUCCGGUGUCAGACAUGGACGGCGUCCCUUCCGGCGGGGGCGAUUCCUUCUUCUCCCCUCUCUGCAUCUUCCUCCUCGUCGUCGCUCUUCAGUCCCUCGAUGGCUUCCUGGAUAUCGUCAAAAAGAAAGGAAUGACAAGUGAGGAAGAAGUUCAACUGCGCAAAGAAAUCAAGGAACUUUACAAAGAGGCUAGCUCCCUAUCAACGCCUUCAACCUUUGCUCAAUCUGCUAAACUUAAACGACUAGCUGCAGCCAAGGAAAAGGAGCUGCUUAGAAAACAAGAAGAGCGCAAGAAGGAGAAAACCUGGUUAUAUGAGCUGUCUGGGAGGGCCUUGCUGGCUUUGAAGGUACUGUUGUAUGGUGGUCUUGUACUUCGGUUUUGGGGAGUUCCUGUUGCAGCAGUCCCCCAACAUCUAUUGCAACCUUUUGGCAGAGUAUUGUCCUGGAAGUCUGGAAAUGCUGCCACAGGCCAAAUCAUGGUAGAUUCAUUGCUUGAAUUGUCUGGAAAUACAAUGACUUGUGGAAUUGAGUUGCAGGAAUUUUGUUUCCUUCGUUCUAAAUGCAGGUUGGCAUAAUUCCAUGGCUGGUUUUAACUUCUCGUGUCAGCAAAUUCUUGUGGCAAAAGUUCCAAAAAACCUUUUUCAGCAGUUAAACGUAGGACUACCAAACCUAAGAUUUUGUCUGAUUUUUUCCUCUACUUUUGUGUGUACCAUGUCACUCAAUUGGUCAAUAAACUUACGAAGCUGCAUACAUUUCGUAUUGAGGCACUUAAUUUGCAGCGGCAACACUCCAUGUGUUCAACUGCUUUUUCAGAUUUAUGCUAUAUUUUUCUGACUCUGACAUGUAAAAACUUUGUUUUGUACAACAUUUUUGAAAGGAAUGGGAAAGUGAUUUUUCCUGACCAUUUUGUCUGAUAAAUUGUUUACUUUAGCAGUA